RNAcentral lists this ribosomal RNA (305 nucleotides) under uncultured bacterium. RNAcentral's name for it is "bacterial SSU rRNA". It matches the Rfam family "Bacterial small subunit ribosomal RNA", at positions 337 to 639 of the family's 1533-position model. The record is from RNAcentral.
CCCUACGGGAGGCAGCAGUGAGGAAUAUUGGUCAAUGGACGAGAGUCUGAACCAGCCAAGUAGCGUGAAGGAUGACUGCCCUAUGGGUUGUAAACUUCUUUUAUAUGGGAAUAAAGUGGGCCACGUGUGGCUUUUUGUAUGUACCAUACGAAUAAGGAUCGGCUAACUCCGUGCCAGCAGCCGCGGUAAUACGGAGGAUCCGAGCGUUAUCCGGAUUUAUUGGGUUUAAAGGGAGCGUAGGCGGAUUAUUAAGUCAGUUGUGAAAGUUUGCGGCUCAACCGUAAAAUUGCAGUUGAUACUGGUAG